UGAGGAAUAUUGGUCAAUGGGCGAGAGCCUGAACCAGCCAAGUAGCGUGCAGGAUGACGGCCCUAUGGGUUGUAAACUGUUUUUAUAUGGGAAUAAAGUGAGGGACGUGUCCCUUAUUGCAUGUACCAUACGAAUAAGGACCGGCUAAUUCCGUGCCAGCAGCCGCGGUAAUACGGAAGGUCCAGGCGUUAUCCGGAUUUAUUGGGUUUAAAGGGAGCGUAGGCUGUUUGUUAAGCGUGUUGUGAAAUGUAAGAGCUCAACUUUUAGAUUGCAGCGCGAACUGGCAGACUUGAGUGCGCACAACGUAGGCGGAAUUCAUGGUGUAGCGGUGAAAUGCUUAGAUAUCAUGACGAACUCCGAUUGCGAAGGCAGCUUACGGGAGCGCAACUGACGCUAAAGCUCGAAGGUGCGGGUAUCGAACAGG
This 424-nucleotide ribosomal RNA is filed under the name Verrucomicrobiota bacterium. Its description in RNAcentral is "Verrucomicrobia bacterium partial 16S ribosomal RNA". It matches the Rfam family "Bacterial small subunit ribosomal RNA", at positions 355 to 776 of the family's 1533-position model. Lineage: Bacteria; Pseudomonadati; Verrucomicrobiota. The record is from RNAcentral.